Molecule: microRNA, 21 nt
Filed under: Selaginella moellendorffii
Lineage: Eukaryota; Viridiplantae; Streptophyta; Lycopodiopsida; Selaginellales; Selaginellaceae
Description: smo-miR1081
Source: miRBase by way of RNAcentral
UGAGGCUUGCCUUUGAUUCUC